Molecule: ribosomal RNA, 493 nt
Filed under: uncultured bacterium
Lineage: Bacteria
Description: partial 16S ribosomal RNA
Rfam family: Bacterial small subunit ribosomal RNA
Source: RNAcentral
AUUGAACGCUGGCGGCAUGCUUUACACAUGCAAGUCGAACGGUAACAGGUUAAGCUGACGAGUGGCGAACGGGUGAGUAAUGCAUCGGAACGUGCCCGAUCGUGGGGGAUAACGCAGCGAAAGCUGCGCUAAUACCGCAUACGAUCUGAGAAUGAAAGCGGGGGACCGUAAGGCCUCGCGCGAUCGGAGCGGCCGAUGUCAGAUUAGGUAGUUGGUGGGGUAAAGGCUCACCAAGACAACGAUCUGUAGCUGGUCUGAGAGGACGACCAGCCACACUGGGACUGAGACACGGACCAAACUCCGACGGGAGGCAGCAGUGGGGAAUUUUGGACAAUGGGCGGAAGCCUGAUCCAGCAAUGCCGCGUGCAGGAAGAAGGCCUUCGGGUUGUAAACUGCUUUUGUACGGAGCGAAAAGGUUCUCUCUAAUACAGAGGGCUCAUGACGGUACCGUAAGAAUAAGCACCGGCUAACUACGUGCCAGCAGCCGCCGCCG